Prosopis cineraria is the source of this 406-nucleotide long non-coding RNA. RefSeq lists it as uncharacterized. The record is from RefSeq and is a predicted model, not a curated record. The transcript is spliced from 2 exons. NCBI's taxonomy places the organism in Eukaryota, Viridiplantae, Streptophyta, Magnoliopsida, Fabales, Fabaceae.
CUUUUGCAACAUCAUUGACACACCAAUUCUCCAGUAAAUUUUUCAAAAUGGCUUCUGCAAAAAUCUUCUGUCUUGUGCUUUUUCUGAUGAUCAUGUUAUCAUCAGGUCAAGAAGCAGAGGAGGGAAUAAAAUGUUGCAAGGAUAAUCGAUCUCCUAACUGCAAAAAUGAAGAAUGCAACCCAAAAUGCCAAGCUGCAAGCUGCAGAGGAGGAGAAUGCAAAAUUAGGGAUGCAAUGCAUUAUUGUCAUUGUUACUGUUAAUUAGGUCACUCGUCACCAUGCCAGUGUUUUUGGGUCUCUCCAUAUAUAUCCGAUAAUAAAAGCACAUCUAUGUGUAUGCAUAUAGCAUAUAGUUUCCUAUAAAGGUCUAUCUAUAUCAACUAUUCAACCUUUUGCCCCAUAUCUCA